CGGGGGACAAAGUGACAGGUGGUGCAUGGUUGUCGUCAGCUCGUGUCGUGAGAUGUUGGGUUAAGUCCCGCAACGAGCGCAACCCUUAAGCUUAGUUGCCAGCAUUAAGUUGGGCACUCUAAGUUGACUGCCGGUGACAAACCGGAGGAAGGUGGGGAUGACGUCAAAUCAUCAUGCCCCUUAUGAUUUGGGCUACACACGUGCUACAAUGGACAAUACAAAGGGCAGCUAAACCGCGAGGUCAUGCAAAUCCCAUAAAGUUGUUCUCAGUUCGGAUUGUAGUCUGCAACUCGACUACAUGAAGCUGGAAUCGCUAGUAAUCGUAGAUCAGCAUGCUACGGUGAAUACGUUCCCGGGUCUUGUACACACCGCCCGUCACACCACGAGAGUUUGUAACACCCGAAGCCGGUGGAGUAACCAUUUAUGGAGCUAGCCGUCGAAGGUGGGACAAAUGAUUGGGGUGAAGUCGUAACAAGGUAGCCGUAUCGGAAGGUG
RNAcentral lists this ribosomal RNA (495 nucleotides) under uncultured bacterium. RNAcentral describes it as "bacterial SSU rRNA". It matches the Rfam family "Bacterial small subunit ribosomal RNA", at positions 1020 to 1514 of the family's 1533-position model. The record is from RNAcentral.